RNAcentral lists this ribosomal RNA (490 nucleotides) under uncultured bacterium. RNAcentral describes it as "partial 16S ribosomal RNA". It matches the Rfam family "Bacterial small subunit ribosomal RNA", at positions 29 to 507 of the family's 1533-position model. The record is from RNAcentral.
AGUGAACGCUGGCGGUAGGCCUAACACAUGCAAGUCGAACGGCAGCACAGGAGAGCUUGCUCUCUGGGUGGCGAGUGGCGGACGGGUGAGGAAUACAUCGGAAUCUGCCCAGUCGUGGGGGACAACGUAGGGAAACUUACGCUAAUACCGCAUACGACCUUCGGGUGAAAGAGGGGGAGCGCAAGACCUCUCGCGAUUGGAUGAGCCGAUGUCGGAUUAGCUAGUUGGCGGGGUAAUGGCCCACCAAGGCGACGAGCCGUAGCUGGUCUGAGAGGAUGAUCAGCCACACUGGAACUGAGACACGGUCCAGACUCCUACGGGAGGCAGCAGUGGGGAAUAUUGGACAAUGGGCGCAAGCCUGAUCCAGCCAUACCGCGUGGGUGAAGAAGGCCUUCGGGUUGUAAAGCCCUUUUGUUGGGAAAGAAAUCUUUCAGGCUAAUACCCUGGGAGGAUGACGGUACCCAAAGAAUAAGCACCGGCUAACUUCGUG